This 251-nucleotide ribosomal RNA is filed under the name uncultured bacterium. RNAcentral describes it as "partial 16S ribosomal RNA". It matches the Rfam family "Bacterial small subunit ribosomal RNA", at positions 338 to 586 of the family's 1533-position model. The record is from RNAcentral.
CCUACGGGAGGCAGCAGUGAGGAAUAUUGGUCAAUGGGCGAGAGCCUGAACCAGCCAAGUCGCGUGAGGGAAGACGGUCCUAUGGAUUGUAAACCUCUUUUGCCGGGGAGCAAAAAGCGGUACGUGUACCGCAUCGAGAGUACCCGGAGAAAAAGCAUCGGCUAACUCCGUGCCAGCAGCCGCGGUAAUACGGAGGAUGCGAGGGUUAUCCGGAUUUAUUGGGUUUAAAGGGGGCGCAGGCGGCGAGGUAA